UACGUAGGGUGCGAGCGUUGUCCGGAAUUACUGGGCGUAAAGAGCUCGUAGGUGGUUUGUCACGUCGUCUGUGAAAUUCCGGGGCUUAACCUCGGGCGUGCAGGCGAUACGGGCAAUACUUGAGUGCUGUAGGGGAGACUGGAAUUCCUGGUGUAGCGGUGAAAUGCGCAGAUAUCAGGAGGAACACCAAUGGCGAAGGCAGGUCUCUGGGCAGUUACUGACGCUGAGGAGCGAAGGCAUGGGUAGCGAACAGGAUUAGAUA
Molecule: ribosomal RNA, 262 nt
Filed under: uncultured prokaryote
Description: partial 16S ribosomal RNA
Rfam family: Bacterial small subunit ribosomal RNA
Source: RNAcentral